This 618-nucleotide ribosomal RNA is filed under the name uncultured bacterium. RNAcentral's name for it is "bacterial SSU rRNA". It matches the Rfam family "Bacterial small subunit ribosomal RNA", at positions 8 to 604 of the family's 1533-position model. The record is from RNAcentral.
AGAGUUUGAUCCUGGCUCAGAUUGAACGCUGGCGGUAGGCUUAACACAUGCAAGUCGAGCGGUAACAGACAUUUUGAUUUUGCUUGCAAAAUCUCGUGCUGACGAGCGGCGAACGGGUGAGUAACGCGUAGGAAUCUACCUAGUAGAAGGGGAUAGCCCGAGGAAACUCGGAUUAAUACCGUAUACGUCCUUAGGGAGAAAGAGGGCUUAGCUUUGAUGCUCUCGCUAUUAGAUGAGCCUGCGUAAGAUUAGCUUGUUGGUGAGGUAAAGGCUCACCAAGGCGACGAUCUUUAGCUGGUCUGAGAGGACGAUCAGCCACAUUGGGACUGAGACACGGCCCAGACUCCUACGGGAGGCAGCAGUGGGGAAUAUUGGACAAUGGGCGCAAGCCUGAUCCAGCCAUACCGCGUGUGUGAAGAAGGCCUUCGGGUUGUAAAGCACUUUAAGUAAGGAAGAAAAGAGUAUUGUUAAUACCAAUACUCCGUGACAUUACUUACAGAAUAAGGACCGGCUAAUUCCGUGCCAGCAGCCGCGGUAAUACGGAAGGUCCAAGCGAUAAUCGGAAUUACUGGGCGUAAAGCGCGCGUAGGUGGUUUAUUAAGUUGGUGUGAAAGCCCC